Molecule: ribosomal RNA, 253 nt
Filed under: uncultured bacterium
Lineage: Bacteria
Description: partial 16S ribosomal RNA
Rfam family: Bacterial small subunit ribosomal RNA
Source: RNAcentral
UACAGAGGUGGCAAGCGUUGUUCGGAAUUACUGGGCGUAAAGGGCGCGUAGGCGGUUCGAUAAGUCCUGUGUGAAAUCCCUCGGCUCAACUGAGGAACUGCACGGGAGACUGUCGGGCUUGAGUUCGGGAGAGGGAAGCGGAAUUCCGGGUGUAGCGGUGAAAUGCGUAGAUAUCUGGAGGAACACCGGUGGCGAAGGCGGCAUCCUGGACCGGCAUUGACGCUGAGGCGCGAAAGCGUGGGGAGCAAACAGG